This 1218-nucleotide ribosomal RNA is filed under the name Halipeurus diversus. RNAcentral's name for it is "16S ribosomal RNA". The stretch from base 816 to 1157 matches the Rfam family "Archaeal large subunit ribosomal RNA", at positions 2151 to 2715 of the family's 2987-position model. The record is from RNAcentral. Lineage: Eukaryota; Metazoa; Arthropoda; Insecta; Psocodea; Philopteridae.
UUUAAUUAUAUUUCACACACAUGUGUAUAUUUAUUUGUAAUAUUCUUUUAUAUUUUAUUAAUUUUUAGAAUUAUAUAGGUAAUUAAACAGAAAUGGGUUUGUUUUAUUUGAUUUAAAAGCAAUUAUUAUUUAAUGUACCUUUUGUAUCAGGGUGUUAGGAAUAAUUUAAUGUAACUUAAUAUUUUCCCGAAGUGAAUUGAUCUUAUUUUAACUGAAUUUUUAUGUUUAAUUAUAAUAUUCUAAGUUUAAUAAGAUGUUAGAAAUAAUUCGUAAUUUUGUAUAUCUGGUUUCUUUUUAAUCAAUUAAAUUGAUAAAUCUGGUUAAUUUUUAUCUAAUAAUUUAUUAUACACAGGUUUUGUAUUUUUGUAGGGAUAAGCUUACUUGAAUUGAAUUUAUCUAUAAUGUUAGUUAUAAAUAUUUAUAUUAAUUUAAACUAAGAGAAGUCUUAUUUAAUGUUUUAUGUAUAUUUAACUUUUAUUGAAUUUUUUAAACUUAUUACUGUAAGAGAGAAAUAAAAAUUUUAAUAUUUUAGUAUUAAAUACAAUCUAUCAAUUAGUAAUUUGCUUAAUUAAAGAUAAGGAACUAGGCAAUAAGAAGUUCCACCUGUUUAAUAAAAACAUGUCUUUUUGGUUUUAAUUUAAAGUCUAACCUGCUCAGUGCUAAUGUUUAGUAAAUAGCUGCGGUUUAUACUGCACUAAGGUAGCGUAAUCAUUAGUUCCUUAAUUGGGAUCCAGAAUGAAUGGUUGGAUGAGAUCUUAACUGUCUCAUUUUUAAUAAAUAAAAUUGAACUUUGAGUUAAAAUGCUCAGAUAUUUAGGAGGGACGAGAAGACCCUGUAGAUCUUUAAGAUUUUAAUUUGUUUAUUAAACAUUUUAUUUCUUUUACCUGGGACGGGUCCAUUUAAUUAAACCUUGGUUAAAUAUAAUUUUAUCAUUAGAAAAUAUAAAGAUCCUUUAGAAGAUAAAAAGAAAAAGUUACCUCAGGGAUAACAGCACAAUUUCUUUUUUCUAGAUCAUAUAGAUGAAGGAGAUUGUGACCUCGAUGUUGAAUUAAAGUGUUAUUUGGAAGCAAAAUGUCAAAUUGUUAGUCUGCUCGACUAUUAAAACUUUACAUGAUUUGAGUUUAGAUCGACGUGAGUCAGGUCGGAUUCUAUCUUCCUUAUAAUUAAGAUUUUCUUGUACGAAAGGACUUAUAAAUCUGACUUUGAAUUUAGUUUUAU